RNAcentral lists this ribosomal RNA (880 nucleotides) under uncultured bacterium. RNAcentral's name for it is "bacterial SSU rRNA". It matches the Rfam family "Bacterial small subunit ribosomal RNA", at positions 11 to 870 of the family's 1533-position model. The record is from RNAcentral.
GUUUGAUCAUGGCUCAGAACGAACGUUAGCGGCGCGCCUAACACAUGCAAGUCGCACGAGAAAGGGCUUCGGCCCCGGUACAGUGGCGCACGGGUGAGUAACACGUAGGUAAUCUCCCCUUGAGUGGUGGAUAACCCUCCGAAAGGAGAGCUAAUACAGCAUGAGACCACAGCAUCUACGGAUGCAGAGGUCAAAGCAGGCCUCUACAUGUAAGCUUGCGCUCAAGGAUGAGCCUGCGGCCCAUCAGCUAGUUGGUGAGGUAACGGCCCACCAAGGCUAAGACGGGUAGCUGGUCUGAGAGGAUGAACAGCCACACUGGAACUGACACACGGUCCAGACUCCUACGGGAGGCAGCAGUGGGGAAUCUUGCGCAAUGGGCGAAAGCCUGACGCAGCGACGCCGCGUGAGCGAUGAAGGCCUUCGGGUUGUAAAGCUCUGUGGGGAGAGAAGAAUAAGGAUACGCUAAUACCGUAUUCGACGACGGUAUCUCCUUAGCAAGCACCGGCUAACUCUGUGCCAGCAGCCGCGGUAAGACAGAGGGUGCAAACGUUGUUCGGAAUUACUGGGCGUAAAGCGCGUGUAGGUGGCUAAGCGUGUCGGAUGUGAAAUCCCGCGGCUCAACCGUGGAAGUGCAUUCGAAACUGCUUGCCUAGAGUUUCGGAGAGGAAGGCGGAAUGCUUGGUGUAGAGGUGAAAUUCGUAGAUAUCAAGCAGAACACCUGUGGCGAAGGCGGCCUUCUGGACGAUGACUGACGCUGAGACGCGAAAGCGUGGGGAGCAAACAGGAUUAGAUACCCUGGUAGUCCACGCCGUAAACGAUGAGUGCUAGGUGUCAGGGGCUUUGACCCUCCUGGUGCCGCAGCUAACGCAAUAAGCACUCC